GUCAAGGGGGCUCCUCUCCACAGGUUCCCAACUACCAUGUUUGUUUUCAGGAAAAUUAUGGCCUGAGCCGCCUGAAGCUGCAAGAUGAUCAAGUUCUUCUUCCUGUUAGCCGUUUCUGUUAGGACUUGGUUGCCGAGUGGGGAGAGAGCCGGUUGGCUACAGCUGCUCUUGCAGGCAUCCUGGAGACCUUUGCUGAGCACUGGUUGGUGCCAGACCAGCCCAAGGGUUUCUCAAAAGCCCCAAUGAAAAGUCAAAGGGAAGGUUACAGUGAGGAUGGGGUGGGUUCCUGUCUGGAUACGAAGCUGGCACGUGACAGCAUCUUUCCCUCACUGCUUGCCAUUAGCUGUUUGGGGAAACAGGAGUGGAUUUUCCCUGGAGG
Molecule: long non-coding RNA, 379 nt
Organism: Meriones unguiculatus (Mongolian gerbil)
Lineage: Eukaryota; Metazoa; Chordata; Mammalia; Rodentia; Muridae
Exons: 3
Source: RefSeq, a predicted model, not a curated record